RNAcentral lists this ribosomal RNA (368 nucleotides) under uncultured organism. Its description in RNAcentral is "bacterial LSU rRNA". It matches the Rfam family "Bacterial large subunit ribosomal RNA", at positions 2099 to 2465 of the family's 2925-position model. The record is from RNAcentral.
CUUAACUGUAAGCUGUUACUGGUUUUUCGUUUUCAAUGCUCAGCGUAAGUGGGAGACUUUGAAGCGGCCCUUUAGGGGGUUGCAGAGUCGUCAAUGAGACACCACCCUUUGGUAAUGGAGAAUCUAACCUCGAGCCCUACAUCGGGCCGAGGGACAAUGCCAGCCGGUCAGUUUUACUGGGGCGGUAUCCUCCCAAAAAGUAACGGAGGAGCGCGAUGGUGGGCUCAGCGUGGUUGGUAAUCACGUGUCGAGUGUAUAGGCACAAGCCCGCCUAACUGUGAGACGGACAUGUCGAGCAGAUACGAAAGUAGGCCUAAGUGAUCCGGUAGUCGAAAGUGGAAUUGCUAUCGCUCAACGGAUAAAAGGUA